GAUGAACGCUGGCGGCGUGCUUAACACAUGCAAGUCGAGCGAAGCACUUAAGUGGAUCUCUUCGGAUUGAAACUUAUUUGACUGAGCGGCGGACGGGUGAGUAACGCGUGGGUAACCUGCCUCAUACAGGGGGAUAACAGUUAGAAAUGGCUGCUAAUACCGCAUAAGCGCACAGGACCGCAUGGUCUGGUGUGAAAAACUCCGGUGGUAUGAGAUGGACCCGCGUCUGAUUAGCUAGUUGGAGGGGUAACGGCCCACCAAGGCGACGAUCAGUAGCCGGCCUGAGAGGGUGAACGGCCACAUUGGGACUGAGACACGGCCCAGACUCCUACGGGAGGCAGCAGUGGGGAAUAUUGCACAAUGGGGGAAACCCUGAUGCAGCGACGCCGCGUGAAGGAAGAAGUAUCUCGGUAUGUAAACUUCUAUCAGCAGGGAAGAAAAUGACGGUACCUGACUAAGAAGCCCCGGCUAACUACGUGCCAGCAGCCGCGGUAAUACGUAGGGGGCAAGCGUUAUCCGGAUUUACUGGGUGUAAAGGGAGCGUAGACGGAAGAGCAAGUCUGAUGUGAAAGGCUGGGGCUUAACCCCAGGACUGCAUUGGAAACUGUUUUUCUAGAGUGCCGGAGAGGUAAGUGGAAUUCCUAGUGUAGCGGUGAAAUGCGUAGAUAUUAGGAGGAACACCAGUGGCGAAGGCGGCUUACUGGACGGUAACUGACGUUGAGGCUCGA
Molecule: ribosomal RNA, 728 nt
Filed under: uncultured Lachnospiraceae bacterium
Lineage: Bacteria; Bacillati; Bacillota; Clostridia; Lachnospirales; Lachnospiraceae
Description: bacterial SSU rRNA
Rfam family: Bacterial small subunit ribosomal RNA
Source: RNAcentral